UGGUGGCUGCAGUCUUGGUGUGACUGAUCUGCCUCCAUAGGAGCCUUCUUAUGGCAUCACUGAAGCGUUGGGCUGCUGCUAAAUGGCUUGGGCAAAACUCAUUGCUGCUCUUCAUCCAGAAGGCAGGAGAAGGAGGUGUCCUGUAACUCACCACCCAGUGCAAAGUCCUUUCCACUUAUCCCACCUGCAGACAACAAUGGAAGAGUCCUCUGAAAAUGUACAGAGAACCUGUCUCUUUUCCAAGGGUCUGCAAAGAACUUUUUUCAGUACUCUUGCCAGAAGGAGCUCUGUAGGAGCCUGGAAUUUCUGUGAGGAAUGACACACACUAGUACAAAGGCGGUGCAUCUGUUGUGAAUGGCAGCUGUUGCACAGCGCUGAGAAUUCCAUAUCCUCUUGCUAUUUACAGACAACUGUUUUGUAUCUUAUCUGUUUUGUACAGACACCUGUAAAAUGUACUAAAUGAAUUUUUCUUAGUGGAGUCACCAUCUGUGUUUCAGAUACUCAUUUUUAAGUAGUAUAGCUAGACAAGUAUGUUAAAACAUCCCAGAGUUCUUUUUAAGUGUUGACUAAACACUGAGGAUUACCAUAUAAAGAUACAUUAAGGCUUUCUCAUCACUCACAGGGAGUUACUAUGCCUAUGAAUUAAGAGCAGCAUGUAGUCUGUAACAUUGAAGCUUAAGUCCCUAUUGUAGUAUGUAAAAUUUUUCCACUAAAUGUAAAACGGAUGAGUUAAUUCCAUUUAUCAUUAAAAGAUGUUGAAAAUUGCAGGGGGUCUUUUGUUUUAAAUCAUGAUAUUUCUUCUAAGGAAAUGGAAGACAGUAAACUGUUAGAACAGCUAACACAGAUGAAAGUAGAGAAAUUCCCACUACAGUAGGGAAAGCAGAAAAGAAAUAAUUUAGAAAGUAGUUUCAGCUGACCCCUUUGAUAAAACUAUGUUGCGUGACAUAUCUGAUGUGGAAACAGAAAUUGUACAGCAAUAGGAAGUUGUUAUCUCCAUAUCUCAAAUGCUAAGACAGUUCCCCGAGUCAACUGUGAGACAGAUCUACUCUUGUUAUGACAGCUGUUGGAAACUGAUGUCAGUAUAACUGUACAAUGUCUUUUGAUAGUCUUAACUAUUACAAACCUUAAAAUAUGUUUACGAUGUUAUCUAAGACAUUUUGUUUGGAAAUGGCUCUAUUUAUAACCAAGAAUUGCUCAAGCUAUUUUAAUAAAUAAAUGAUAUUUAUA
Long non-coding RNA from Dromaius novaehollandiae (emu), 1227 nucleotides. RefSeq lists it as uncharacterized. The record is from RefSeq and is a predicted model, not a curated record. The transcript has 2 exons. NCBI's taxonomy places the organism in Eukaryota, Metazoa, Chordata, Aves, Casuariiformes, Dromaiidae.